AUUUUGCUUCUUGUCUUGGCUGACGUCAUCAUCACACAACCAGUUUCUCAAGGUGAAACAUGAGUCAUCCUCUUCCUUCAUCUCUCUCACCCUGCAAAAACAAUAGUCAACCAUGCUCUGUCAAUUAUACUGCAGAAAUGUUGCUCGAAUGUCAUUCCUUCAUGUAUCUCCGCAUUCCCCUUGCCUUUCACGUACCUGGAACACAAGUGCCCAAUAAGUAUUUGUUGAUUAGUAAUUGCCCAAUGAACACUGUAAGAAGAAAAGAUGAAGAAAAGGAGAAAACAACGUAAGGAAAGGAAGGAGGGAGAUGGAAGGAAGGAAAGAGGCAGAUGUUUCCAAAGCAUGCUUUACAAAGACAUGAGCCAUUUUGUGGAUAACUGUAGCAUUGUUACCUUAUGUUUACUAGAGAAAAAAUAAAAUGAAUAACCAUAAUAACAAUGAUAAGUUAUUUUCCUUCCCAGUAUUUUUUCCUUGACAAUACCAAACUAAAAGUUUCAUUCUGGUUAUUACGAUCUCCAUUCUGGUUAUUAUGCCAUACAAAGAUGAACUCAUUGACAAAGAAAAAUGUCAAGAAUCUUCCCCUGAUGACAAAGUAUAGCCCGGAAACAUAACAGAAGGUCUGUGUUACCCUUUGUGGCACGGGGAUUUAUCAUCCCACUCCAAUACCCCCACCUAGGAGAGAACCUGUCAGCCUCUCCAGUAAUUUCUGCCACGAUGCUCACUGGGCCCUUACGUAGACUGACUUGCUUCUCUAUUGCUACUUAUCUUGUAUCUUUAAGGCCAUGCUAACUCGAUUGAAUUACAAGUCUUUGUAGGCAGUUGCUAUGCCUUAUAUGUUCUUUAAUUUUCCUAGUUCUUAUUGAUUGAUUUAUGUAUUCAGAAACUCUUUGUUGAGUGCCUGCUCUGUACCAGACACUGUGCAAGGCACUAUGGGUAUAACUGUGAAAAGAACAGAAAACAUAUCCAUUAUUCUGUGCAUCCUCACAGAGGCUGUAAAUAAAUACUGUUGACAUUAGUUAUGAUAAUUCCCAACCCUAAUUGUCUGGGCAGAGUCAUAAACAGUGAGAUUGUAGGCUGAAACUGACCUACUAAAUUGGAAUCCUACUUGAUGCAAAAUGACCUUGCCAGGCUGGUCAUCGGUGGAGCCUUGUGAUCUAUACAGAAUAUUGAGCAUUAGUCGCAGUAGCGAAGACACGGAAACAACCUAAGUGUUCACCAACAGAUGAAUGGAUAAAGCAAAUGUAGCAUAUAUACACAGUGGAAUACUAUUCAGCCUUAACAAAGAAGGAAAUCUGGCUAACUGCAACAACAUGGAUGAACCUGGAGGAUAUUAUAUAAGUGAAAUAAGCCAGGCACGGAAAAUUGUCUGCCCUAUUGCUCAACAAGAUAAAAUGUCUGGGCUGGUGGCUGGAGGCAGGAGGAAGAAUCUGGAGAGAGAGAGACUGUGGAAAAGGCAUAGAAAGAACAUAUUUCUUUAAGGGACUUAGGAACUUCAUUCUGCAAAUCUGUUUCCAAUGCCUGUUAAGUACAAAGCACUGUGUGGACAUGUUCCUAUUCUCAAGACGUUUGCUAUACAGUAGGAAGGAGAGGAGGGCCUGCUCUCUGCCAAACACUGUCCUAGGAGUUUUGCACACUCCAUUGAGUAUUCUCUAUAUUUUUAACAGCCCUGAGAGAGUCUGGAUCCAUUGCAGCCAUUUUGAAAUUAACAAAUAAUAAGGGAAGGCCAACAAGGACAGAUGUAUAAAAGUAUAAUGAAUCAUAACAAGAGCUUCAUCCUCCUGG
This 1782-nucleotide long non-coding RNA is filed under the name Pongo abelii (Sumatran orangutan). RNAcentral describes it as "lincRNA". Lineage: Eukaryota; Metazoa; Chordata; Mammalia; Primates; Hominidae. The record is from RNAcentral.